Molecule: long non-coding RNA, 6724 nt
Organism: Marmota monax (woodchuck)
Lineage: Eukaryota; Metazoa; Chordata; Mammalia; Rodentia; Sciuridae
Exons: 2
Source: RefSeq, a predicted model, not a curated record
GGCCAUCCAUGGGGCAAUGGAGGAUGGAGGGUGUGGGUGCAGGUGGGAUAAGAGGGUAGAUGAGGCAUGGGACUCUGAAGUUCCUUUCUGAUUGCUUCAAUCAUCUCAGUGGAAGUGGAGGCAAGGAAUCAGGUGAGAAUGACGAGGAGGGGAGAUGGGCUGAGCAGAGAGGUGUGAGGAGCUCGUUCAGACUGGGAGGAAGACUGCUGAUGUAAGUUCCAGAGUUCACGGCAGACUGGUGGGAGUGGGAGUGAGUUUGGGGAGCCUCCUUUUCACCUUGAAAAGAGAUGUGGUCUGGGAGUGAGGGCUCCUUCAGCCCUCACAUCAUCAGGACCACGUCUUGAUGGUGCACUAACAGGAGUGUGUGCUCUUCUCUGGGUGGUGUGUGUUUUCACAGGGGCUCUUUGGAGAUAAUGUGCCAACUUCCCACAGCAGGCAGUGUCUCUCUGGUGUUCUGGAAAGCCCCCAGUUCUCACUAAGUGAUGUGAACUUAACCAGGGUUUAACCAAGACCCUGUGGAAGGGGGCCUGAGGAGCCCACUCCUUUAGCCAGUGGGAGGGCUCAGAGCACUCAGUGCAGGGCGAGGCCAGUGCAGGGGCACCUGUCAGGGUGCUGCUUUAGACCCAGCCAACACUUGGGCUUUGUGUUUCUCUCACAAUUCCCAGCAACCAUGCAUGUUGGUUUGUUUACCUUGGGAAACAGCAACAACUGCCAGCAAACCCAGUGCCAUUCCCUUCCAGGUGUAUUGCUAUGUCGGCUGGUGGAGGAACUGAGAAGCCACCCAGCUGCCAGCACUGCGGCCCAAGGGCCCACAACCCUCUUGGGUUGUGCCUCCUCAUGCCUGUAGGGUCAUGCAGGAAGGGGCUAGAAAAGCAAAUGGCACCAACUGGCACUGAGGUUCCCAGGCCCCCAGGAUCAGCCCAUGGCCUUCUGCCCUGAACAGACUAGCCCUACAGUUCUUUGACCAUAAUGCUGGUAGGAUGAUGGAACAAAUUGAUUUCAGCAGUGCUGGGGUUGAAGGGAACAAUGGUCCCAUGGGCCCCUUAAAAAGCUGGCUUAGAGGCUCUGCUUUCUUUCCCAAGCUCGGCAGGCUCACUGCUCGCCAUUCAUUCCAGGAUGGGUCUGUGCCCAAGUCACAUUUGGACUCUGGCCCAGGGAUUGUGAAGUCAGAGUUGUGCUUCAUCUUGAACCUCAGCCUGUUUGCCAGGAGGAUGAUUUGCAGUGACUGAAGCUACGGAGACGCCUUCAUUGAACAGCUCUGUUGUAGACAAAGAGCAGGCCAAGUAAAGCUUUCCCACUGGCUUCCAGCAGAAGUCUGCAUUUUAGACCAUCUCUAACGGCGUCGGUGAUGAACUCAACAUUACAGCAAGCCAGAGGACUGUGAGCUAUCUGUACCCCACUCUGGACUUUGCUGUGGCUGCUCAUCCCUGUGCAACAUGCUUCCACCUCAGUUUACAAAACGCCAGGAAGUGAAGCAAUACAGUCUACAAAAAGCAAAACCAAAACAAACAAACAAACAAAAAACACUUUUUUUUUUUAAACCUUCUGUUAAUAGAGUCAAACUGAACAGGCUAUUUCUGAGCAGUGAUAAAGUCCAAGGCCAAUCUUUUUUGUUGGUCCAAUUUAAGCUGGUUACACUGAGACCUCCAUCCAUUUAAAUGAUGAAGAGCUUGUUAUUAGCACUAACCUUUCAACUGUGGGGGGUCUGCAAGCCUUUGGCUGGUGAGACCCAGGGAAUGGGUAUCCCUGGUUCUUUCAUGAAGAAAGUGUAAUUGAAUUUCUGUCAGGCUCAAUGAGAUUUAUCACCUGCCCAGCAAACAGAAACUAUUUUUGAGCUCUGAAGGGGCUUCAGAACAGUUUAAUGACCUCAGCAGGGUGGGGAGGUGAGCCAUUAAGGCUGACAGCAAGUCCACGGUGAUGAAGGGGCAUCUGGGAACAAGGGCCAGGAUGCUCGCUGGGCAGCUAGGCUGGUGUUGCAGUGCAGAAAUAGGAUCAGAAACUUUGGGACUUGAAGUGCAUUUCACCAACAGCUAGAGCAUUUGCUGCAAAUAUCAGAGUGACCCUCAGGCCCUGGGCACGGUUGUUUCCACCUUCACGUGCAUCUAGCUUUCCUCUCUGCCAAGUGUUGUCAAGGCUGACAAACUUGAUGGGUCGGAGUCAGUUGUAUCCUGGACCUGGGCAGUUUGGGUUUUUGCUGUUUCUUUUCCAGAAUCCCUUACACAUUAUUUGAAUUCAUAUUUGAAAUUUCUGAACAUAUUUGAAAUUUCGUACAUGUAGAGCUAAGAAGGUGCCUCAUGCUUUCAUGUUGUUGUUCCGCCAUCCCCACCCCCAGCCCCGGCUCAGCAGCAUGGAGGUGGGAGUACUAAAUGGCGGUACUGAUCGGCUAACCAGUAGACUAGGAUUUGCCAUAUAAGCAAAUCUGUCUAAUCAAGAUUAUAAUUUCAAGUUAUAUUUUCUUCAGCAUCCUGAAAAAUAACUUCCACAGAACUGUUUGGCCAAAGCCUCAAGGAGAAUCUGUAUAUGGAUCAUGGGCAUAAUUUAUAUUUGAGUCAAUUUUUACUCAAAAUGACAAAUUAUCCAUUAUUCUCUCGGAUAUAUCUCAAUGCUGUGAAUUAGUCUGAUGGUGACACUUCUUCUGGCAAGAUUCCUAGAAAAAGCUUUCUAUGAAAAAUCUCAUAAACCAUUCUCUGCUUGCUCCGAUGGCCCCUAAUUUAGGAAAUUUCAUAUCUCAGAAAAGUGCAUGAGUCUGAAGGUUGGGGAAGAUGAGGAAAGAAAGGCAAAGCAACAGGUAUUCUUCUCCUUCCUUCUCUGAUGAUCUCGGACCUGAAAUCAAGUUGGAUCUGUCGUCACAAUAAUCUCAUGAAGGUACCGUGAUUAAUUUAACGUAGCUCUUUUGCAGAACAUGGUGGGUAAGUCAGAAACAGUCUGAACUCUUUGCGAGGCUCAUUAAGGCUUGUUGCAUGUGUCUCUAGUCUGUUUCCAAGUUUCCUGAUCCCAUGGGACCUGCCUCCUGGGGACUCAGACAUGACUGUGAAGAGGCACCAGAGCUCCAAGAGGACUGUCCUCAGUUGAAAACUCUUGAGGCCCUUAUACUUGAUUUUGUCACUCAGCUUUUUGUUGCUGACCAUCCAUACUGGGACAGUCACACCUAAUGACUUUUUCUCUUGCCUAAAGACACAGAAGCAGAGUGCAUGUGCCUCAGAACACUACUUCUCUGAGCUGUGCUUGAAUAAAGCUUCUAUGAUUAGAUGAGAAACAUGAAGACACUACUCCUUUCUUGGAGAUUCACAAUGGGCUCUGAUUUUUUUUUCCUUCCAGUAAAAAUCAAUUUAAUUUUUAGUCAUUGUCUCCCAGAGCAUAUUUGACCAAGAGCUCUGUUGGUGGGUGAGUAUAUAAAACUUUAAAAAUCUCAGGGAAUGAACUUUGGGAAACUUUGGAUGAAGGUUGUAGUUUCAGCUGCUAUCUCUUACAUGUGUUCCAAUUAUUAAACUCCCUAGUGAAAGAACAGAUCCAAAAAGCCAAAAUUCUAGGUGUGCUGGAGUAUGGGGAGCAGGGGAUGAGGUCAGAUACUGUUCUCAACGUGAAAUGUAAGGAUUCCCACAGAAAAACCAGAAUCUUGAAUACAAAUCAAGCAGAGAUUUAUACUGAUGCCAGAACUGUUUUUAAAAACCAAGUGGAAUUUUGCCAAAUAAGGUUCUAAGCUUUGGGUAGGUUUCCUUAGAAACUAUUCUGAAUACGUUAUUAACAUCCUUUGGAUUCAUGCAGUGGAAACACAAGUGUGCAGUCUGGCUCUCCUUGGAACCCCUCUUCCAGGUGAAACUGCCUCUGAAGUAGGGGAGCUCCAUCAUGGAAACACCAUGGACAUAGAUGAGGACAUCACAACAAGGUCACGUGUGCUCACACCUGACCAGUCCAACUCCUCUCUUCACAGACAGCACAUCCUGAUAGUGGAGAGAAGAUAAACCUACAGUUCUUUCUGCCUGUCCCUUGUCUUCUGCAUUUGGGGCUGUGUGAACCACUCAUAAAGGUCUCAGCACCAGGGAAACCAGAAGGUCAGUGUCCCCCCCACCCCCACCCACUGAGCAGUAACUGAGGCCAACUGUUGGUCUAGGAGCUCAUUAUUUGCUGCAGGAAAUGCCUUGUGUUGACCUAACAUUUAGCCAGAGCAUCAUUCCCCCUUCUACCCUCCUGUAUUUUACACAUGAUGCUUCCUUUUCAGUGGCAAACUGUCAGGGUGCUUCUUGUUAAAAGUCACAUCAAACCCUCUGGCUGUCUCAAGUUUUUUGACAAUUUCUUCAAUCUAUUCCAACAAUUUCUGCAAAUUAGAGGAAAAAUAUCUCCCACUCUUCUGCCUUUUAUUUGUCCAAACUGUUCUAUUUAAAAAUCUCCUCUUUUCCCAAAUUAAUGACCAAAAAGAAAAAUGUUGCUAUUCUCCACUUUGAUAAUUCUGGACCAAUUGGAGCAAAACAGCUAUAAGUUGUUAACAGUCUCAGGCGUUACUCAAAGGUACAAGGAUUCAAAGAUAUACAAGAAUUAGGAAAGAAGAGAUCCUUCAAAUGUUAUAAUUUAUUUCAGGUUCAGAAAUACAGCUUCACAUUUUCACAAUAGGUACAUGUGACCUUCAGGAAUGACACAGACUUUAGAAAUUUGCUUCAAAAAUUCCAUUCAGAGUCCAUAUAUCAGCAGUAAGAAAUCCUGAAAGUGCCAAGACGACAGUGGAAAGUACUCUGGCUCAUGUUAAUUAAAGAAUCAACAGAAAAGAAUCGAUUUGUUUUUGUAUACUUUGUAAAAAAAAACAAAAAGAGGAAUUUGAUUCAGAAAAGGGAGAGAGAAUGAACAUAGAUAAGCACAACAAAGGCUGUACACGUGAAAUAAAAUGCAAAUCAAGUUAACAGGGGUAGGAUUUCUGGUUGGGAGAAAUAAUUCUUACAGACUGGCAGCAGUCAAUGCAAGAGGGCAGGGUAAUUUGGGUCCUAAUUUUACAAACAUUACAUAAUGAGCAAAGUUGAAGGAAUUUAAGGGUAAAGAUUAAACAGAAAUCGACACCUUGAGCUGAGUCAUGUAUGAAUCCUCCACCAGAGUGAAGUCUCACCAACACACCAGUGUGGACAGGUCUGAAGACAAUAAGGGGCUCCUCCUUGCAUUUCCACUCUUGCUCCCUCAUGUAUAUUCUUGCACAUAUCCACAAGCACACGCGCGCGCAUACAUACACACACACACACACACACACAGAGUGCAAGGCAUAUCUAGCGCACUUCAAAAAUAGUCUUAAAGUUUCACACGCAGAGCACCACAUAAUUGUAAGCAUACCAGCUAGACAGAGGACUAAGAUCAUCCAGGAGAAUGUUUGAGCUCUUUGGAAAGGACUGGGUGAUCUGGUGAACUAUCUGUUGCUUCUCUAAAGUCACCCGCCUCAUUCCCACCAAGCUGAGCUCACAGCUGGCAAUCCUCUCAGUGGAACAAUACAAAACUCAGGGCACGAGACUCGUCUAUUAUUUUCUUUCAGUGAAUUCAGCUGAGAGACCUACUUUUUAGACUUCAUUCUUAAUCGUAAGGAGAUUCCAGUCAAUUUUAAAUAAUUACACCAUUUGCCAAAGGUAAGAUGUUUACCUGGAAAAGUAGAGAACCUACUUCCAAGGAAUUAAGUAACUUCUCCCCCCAUUUUUUGCAAAUUUUACUUAGAGAAAUCCACGACUUUUAUUAUGUUGCUGAAUAUCUGUUUUUUUUUAAUACUUAGUGUAUAAGAAAACAACUGUAUAGCAUAACUUUACUUUUUAAGAUUCAGCUCAGCAAUCUGGAAUUAACUUGUAAUUUUACCUAGAGAUCUAAAAGGAAGGUUUCCAGAUCCUACUUAUCAAACUACAUGGUUUAAGGUCAUUUCUUCUUUGACAGCAGUGCUGUGGGUUUUUGUAUACCUGCCUGGACUUGUUGUCUGCCUUACUGUGAGCUCUGGGCCUCUCAGAAUAAAUGCAAUCCGCAGUCAGGAGAUUAGGCAGACAGCAAACUAGUGUCACCCCAUGUAAUGGCAGAUCCCCCAAACACCUCUUGGAUUAGCACAAUUUAAAAAAUAUAUUCCUACGCACACAUACUGAGCACGUGGAUAUAGAUAUUUACACCCGUACGUAUGCACAUAUGUACAACACACAGAACAAUCACUUUCAUGCUUGUGGCACUUUGACGAGUGCUUUUAAAUCUACUUAUUCAAGGGGACACAAAAUACAUGUACUCACAGAAAUUUACUCUGCAUAUAUUGUAUAUGUAGAGACACAUGCAUAGAAAAUGUGUUUGUACACAGAAACAUUAACAUUUAUCACAAACUGGUGUUAGGUCCCAUUUCAUAUUUAAGAAUUAUGGCUACAGUCUAUACUAAAUAGUCAUAAGUCAAUCUGUGUGACUACUUUUAAAUUCUAAAUCCAGAAGGCUUAUAAUUAUAUCACAGGAACUGGUUUCCUUAUGUUUGGGGGUAGAAUGACUUUGCAUCUGAACAAAUAGCAAAUUUGCUAAUAAAUCGACCCUACUGCUCUUUUAUGUUAUGAAACACAGCUAAAAGCAAUAUUCAGAAGGGUAUUAUUCGUAGAUGAUUUUUGGAAAUGUAAUAUACCUGGUCUAAAUCAAUACUAUCUUAAUAAUCUGUCCACAAUUGAGUAAAUGGUUAUUCCAAAUGGUCAAUGUGCAUGCAAGAUUUAGCACGUGACAAUAAAACUAGAUGUACUUAUGAAAUAAA